Molecule: ribosomal RNA, 351 nt
Filed under: uncultured Rhodococcus sp.
Lineage: Bacteria; Bacillati; Actinomycetota; Actinomycetes; Mycobacteriales; Nocardiaceae
Description: bacterial SSU rRNA
Rfam family: Bacterial small subunit ribosomal RNA
Source: RNAcentral
UGUACAGGUGGUGCAUGGCUGUCGUCAGCUCGUGUCGUGAGAUGUUGGGUUAAGUCCCGCAACGAGCGCAACCUUGUCUUAUGUUGCCAGCACGUGAUGGUGGGGACUCGUAAGAGACUGCCGGGGUCAACUCGGAGGAAGGUGGGACGACGUCAAGUCAUCAUGCCCCUUAUGUCCAGGGCUUCACACAUGCUACAAUGGCCAGUACAGAGGGCUGCGAGACCGUGAGGUGGAGCGAAUCCCUUAAAGCUGGUCUCAGUUCGGAUCGGGGUCUGCAACUCGACCCCGUGAAGUCGGAGUCGCUAGUAAUCGCAGAUCAGCAACGCUGCGGUGAAUACGUUCCCGGGCCUU